RNAcentral lists this small RNA (28 nucleotides) under Bombyx mori (domestic silkworm). RNAcentral describes it as "ovarian small RNA-3203". The record is from RNAcentral. Lineage: Eukaryota; Metazoa; Arthropoda; Insecta; Lepidoptera; Bombycidae.
UCACAAGAGGUUUAGUUGCCGCCGCCGU